RNAcentral lists this ribosomal RNA (488 nucleotides) under uncultured Planctomycetaceae bacterium. RNAcentral's name for it is "bacterial SSU rRNA". It matches the Rfam family "Bacterial small subunit ribosomal RNA", at positions 34 to 548 of the family's 1533-position model. Lineage: Bacteria; Pseudomonadati; Planctomycetota; Planctomycetia; Planctomycetales; Planctomycetaceae. The record is from RNAcentral.
CAUUACCGGCUGGCAUUAGGCAUGCAGUCGAGCGAGAAGGUUUCUUUUGCUUGCAUUAGAAACUGGAAAGCGGCGAAAGGGAGAGUAACGCGUAGAUACGUACCCAGGGGUUCGGGAUAGCGGGGGGAAACCGCCGGUAAUACCGAAUAAUGUCUCCGGACCAAAGAUUUAUUGCCCUUGGAGCGGUCUGCGUCCUAUUAGCUUGUUGGUGGGGUAAUGGCCUACCAAGGCGAUGAUGGGUAGCGGGUGUGAGAGCAUGGCCCGUCUCACUGGGACUGAGACACUGCCCAGACACCUACGGGUGGCUGCAGUCGAGAAUCUUCCGCAAUGGACGAAAGUCUGACGGAGCGACGCCGCGUGCGGGAUUAAGGCCUUCGGGUUGUAAACCGCUGUCAUAGGGGAGGAAAUUUUGACCGAUCCUAAGAGGAAGCACAGGCUAAGUUCGUGCCAGCAGCCGCGGUAAUACGAACUGUGCGAACGUUAUUCGG